RNAcentral lists this unclassified non-coding RNA (333 nucleotides) under soil metagenome. Its description in RNAcentral is "partial contains 5.8S ribosomal RNA, internal transcribed spacer 2, and large subunit ribosomal RNA". The stretch from base 1 to 120 matches the Rfam family "5.8S ribosomal RNA", at positions 35 to 154 of the family's 154-position model. The record is from RNAcentral.
GAUGAAGAACGCAGCGAAAUGCGAUAAGUAGUGUGAAUUCCAGAAUUCAGUGAAUCAUCGAAUCUUUGAACGCACAUUGCGCCCCUCGGUAUUCCGUGGGGCAUGCCUGUUCGAGCGUCAUUUACCCCUCAAGCACUGCUUGGUGUUGGGCGUCUGUCCCGCUUCGCGCGCGGACUCGCCCCAAAGGUAUUGGCAGCGGUCGUGCCAGCUUCUCGCGCAGCACAUUGCGCUUCUCGAGGCGGUCGAUCGGCGUCCACGAAGCUCACCUCCACCGUUUGACCUCGGAUCAGGUAGGGAUACCCGCUGAACUUAAGCAUAUCAAUAAGCGGAGGA